UGCGUAGGGUGCGAGCGUUGUCCGGAAUUAUUGGGCGUAAAGAGCUCGUAGGCGGUGUGUCACGUCGGCCGUGAAAACCUGCAGCUUAACUGUGGGCGUGCGGUCGAUACGGGCAUCACUGGAGUUCGGCAGGGGAGACUGGAAUUCCUGGUGUAGCGGUGAAAUGCGCAGAUAUCAGGAGGAACACCGGUGGCGAAGGCGGGUCUCUGGGCCGAUACUGACGCUGAGGAGCGAAAGCGUGGGGAGCAAACAGG
Molecule: ribosomal RNA, 254 nt
Filed under: uncultured bacterium
Lineage: Bacteria
Description: partial 16S ribosomal RNA
Rfam family: Bacterial small subunit ribosomal RNA
Source: RNAcentral